This 465-nucleotide ribosomal RNA is filed under the name uncultured bacterium. RNAcentral's name for it is "partial 16S ribosomal RNA". It matches the Rfam family "Bacterial small subunit ribosomal RNA", at positions 338 to 795 of the family's 1533-position model. The record is from RNAcentral.
CCUACGGGGGGCAGCAGUGGGGAAUAUUGCGCAAUGGGCGAAAGCCUGACGCAGCGACGCCGCGUGAGGGAUGAAGGUCUUCGGAUCGUAAACCUCUGUCAGCAGGGAAGAACGGUCACUGUGCUAAUCAGCAGUGAAUUGACGGUACCUGCAACGGAAGCACCGGCUAACUCCGUGCCAGCAGCCGCGGUAAUACGGAGGGUGCGAGCGUUAAUCGGAAUUACUGGGCGUAAAGCGCUCGUAGGCGGUAUGUCAAGUAAAGGGUGAAAUCCCCGCGCUAAACGUGGGAACUGCCUUUGAAACUGGCAAACUGGAGUGUGUGAGAGGAUAGUGGAAUUCCAGGUGUAGGAGUGAAAUGCGUAGAUAUCUGGAGGAACAUCAGUGGCGAAGGCGACUAUCUGGCACAUAACUGACGCUGAGGAGCGAAAGCGUGGGUAGCAAACAGGAUUAGAUACCCUUGUAGUC